RNAcentral lists this ribosomal RNA (1034 nucleotides) under Syneurycope sp. G14. RNAcentral describes it as "eukaryotic LSU rRNA". It matches the Rfam family "Eukaryotic large subunit ribosomal RNA", at positions 76 to 858 of the family's 3401-position model. Lineage: Eukaryota; Metazoa; Arthropoda; Malacostraca; Isopoda; Munnopsidae. The record is from RNAcentral.
UCCUCGAGUAACGGCGAGUGAAAGGGGAAAAGCUCAGCGUGUAGCCUCGGGGAUGCCCUCCAAGUGAGUGUGUUAAUCCUACGAUGGGAUGCCACGUAAGGGAGAAUGCUAGAAGAGUACGCGACCCGGCAAUCCGAACUGUUUGAUGAAACAUUGCCCAGAGAGGGUGUUAGGCCCGUAGGACCGGAACGUCGUUAUUUUUCGCGGUAUUCUCUCGAGAGUCGGGUUGUUUGAGAAUACAGCCUUAAGAGGUGGGAAACUCCAUCUAAAGCUAAAUAUUACUGCGAGACCGAUAGCGAACAAGUACCGUGAGGGAAAGUUGAAAAGGACUCUGAAGAGAGGGUUCAAGAGAGCGUGAAACUGCCACGGGGAUAAAGCGGAUACAUUAGCGUAGUCGAAAAGGGAGAUACAGCUCGUUCGCCGUCGACCUCUCGGGUUCCGACGAUCAUAGGGAAUUAUCCCGGGGGAAUGCGCGUUUGCGCGUGUAUUUCAUCCGGUUCUUGGUUCCUCUUGGCUCGGUCCGAUAGAAGCGUACGUUCACGAACGAGUCUACUUCACACCUUAGUAGGCCGUCGCGACGGUUGGAUUUGUGUUGUCUAAGGCUUUUUAGGGAGGUCUCGGGAACCUUUCGUCACGGGACGGGGACGGAUUCGUUCCUCCCGUUUCCGGCGACGAAGGGGAACGCUCUCAAGAAUUUACUGGCGGACACUCCGACCGGAGAAAUAGACGUUGCUAUUAAUACGUAACGUAAGUGCGGCGCUCCAUAGCGACCAAUUUAUCCGUCCCGUCUUGAAACACGGACCAAGGAGUCUAACAUGUACGCGAGUCAAAGGGCCUUAUUAAACCCCUAGGCGUAAUGAAAGUAAACGGAUUGAUCCGUGCUCCCUGUUUUACACAGGGACCGGCGCAAAUCCGGGACCCGUCUUACUGCUUUAUCGCUUCAUCGCUUUAUUGUUCACGUGGCGGGUACCUGGAGCGUACACGUUGGUACCCGAAAGAUGGUGAUCUAUGCUUGGCCGGGAUGAAGCCAGAGG